RNAcentral lists this ribosomal RNA (468 nucleotides) under uncultured bacterium. RNAcentral's name for it is "partial 16S ribosomal RNA". It matches the Rfam family "Bacterial small subunit ribosomal RNA", at positions 28 to 507 of the family's 1533-position model. The record is from RNAcentral.
GACGAACGCUGGCGGCGUGCUUAACACAUGCAAGUCGAACGGAAAGGCCCUGCUUAUGUGGGGUGCUCGAGAGGCGAACGGGUGAGUAACACGUGAGUAACCUGCCCUUGACAUUGGGCUAAAUUCAGGAAACUAGGGCUAAUACAGGAUAGGUGAUACUGCAGAAUGGUGGGAGAGGGAAAGUUAGGGCGGUUGGGGAUUGACUUGCGGCUUAUGGGCUUGUGGGUGGGGUAGUGGCUUACCAAGGCAUUGACGGGUAGCCGGACUGGGAGGGUGACCGGCCACAUUGGGACUGAGAUACGGCCCAGACCCCUACGGGAGGCAGCAGUGGGGAAUAUUGCACAAUGGGCGGAAGCCUGAUGCAGCAACGCCGCGUGCGGGAUGUCUGCCUGCGGGUUGUAAACCGCUUUCGCCUGGUAUGAAGCGUGAGUGACGGUAAUGGAUAAAUAAGCACCGGCUAACUACGUG